AAUGACAUACUUUGCAAAGCAGAUUAGAGUCCCACGAAAAAACAUUUUCAACGCUACUCUGUGGCCAGUUCUCCAGUAUCUGCCUCCUCCUCCCCUCAGGAGAGCCUGCAAAUCCAGAAGUCCACGGGGAGCUGCGGCAACUCUCUCAUGAAGGAGCUUCUACCGCUUAGAGUGCGCACUACUCAGGCUGGGAUUAGAGAAAAACAACCAUCAUUUCCAGAAAAACAGGAUAAAAACCAGGCCAGUGAUGCUGUAUUAGCAGCCCCUGGAGCAUCAAUUCCCACGGGAGACAGCUCUCCCUGACUGCGGACGCCAGCAGCCAUCUCAGGGGUGAAGGGCGAAGUCUUCCCUCCUCUACUCUGGAUGGAUCUGGGAAGGGAUGGUGCUUAAGCCUCGGGACACAGCAAUGCCGUCUUGGUGGUGUGUCUUGACUCGAAGGAUCCAGACUGCAGAACUGGGAGGUACCCAGGGGAACUGACCCUCAACAGGUCAGGACCGCAGGUGGCUGACACAGCAGGAUAUGACAGGAGCAGCUCCAGGAGCUCGUGAGCAGAGAAGUGGCCAUGAUCCCGUCAGCGCUACGACAGAGGAAGGCCCAGGUACUCAUGUGAAACCCCAGCUCCCAGUGUUUCCCCGUCCUCUGGGCCACAGUGCUCAGACCUAAGGCGGGGGACCACAAUAAUCAGGAGUGAGGAGUAUGAGGGGUGGGCUGUGGCCUUGUUUUCAGUGAGGAGAUUUUCUCCUGAUGUUCAGGAGAAAGUGCUGAUUCCUUGGUUCUAACAUUGAGAGCUCAGCAAAGCACCUGGGAAGCAGGAGAGGAAGGUCAAGGCCAGAACGGCAUGCUCAGUGUGCAGGCAGGCUCAUAUGUUUCUGCGUCCAGACUGAGACAGCUAACUAAUAUGCAGUUAACAGAAAAGAAACAGUAACACAAUUUUCUCCCCUGCCCUUGGUGUGCACAAGCGUGUGGAGGCCGGAGGUUGACACUGAGUAUCUUCUUCAAUGGUUUUCUACCUUACUGUGCUUGAGACAGGGCAUCUCACUGAACCUAGAUCUCUACAGCUCGCUAGCUAGUAACCCCAGGGUUCUCGACUAUGUCCCCCAGAGCUGGGAUUACAGGCACAAGCCACCACGCCCAGCUUUUAGGAGGGUGCUGGGGACUGGAAACAGUUUCCACGCUUAUGUGGCAAGGGCUUUACUCACUGAACCGUCUCCCCAGCCCCGGUUAUCAGGUUAUCAUUCUCUGUCUUAGGCAAGAAAAGUGUGGUCUUCUUUUUAUG
Molecule: non-coding RNA, 1277 nt
Organism: Peromyscus maniculatus bairdii (prairie deer mouse)
Lineage: Eukaryota; Metazoa; Chordata; Mammalia; Rodentia; Cricetidae
Source: RefSeq, a predicted model, not a curated record